RNAcentral lists this unclassified non-coding RNA (374 nucleotides) under uncultured Lentimicrobiaceae bacterium. RNAcentral describes it as "contains 16S-23S intergenic spacer region". The record is from RNAcentral. Lineage: Bacteria; Pseudomonadati; Bacteroidota; Bacteroidia; Bacteroidales; Lentimicrobiaceae.
UCACUACUUGCGUAGGCAGUUUCAUUAGAGUUCCCAGCUUGACCUGAUGGCAACUAAUGAUAAGGGUUGCGCUCGUUAUGGGACUUAACCCGACACCUCACGGCACGAGCUGACGACAACCAUGCAGCACCUUGUAAGACGUCCCGAAGGAAAUUCCGCUUUCACGAAACGUCGUCCUACAUUUAAGCCCAGGUAAGGUUCCUCGCGUAUCAUCGAAUUAAACCACAUGCUCCUCCGCUUGUGCGGGCCCCCGUCAAUUCCUUUGAGUUUCAACGUUGCCGCCGUACUCCCCAGGUGGAUCACUUAAUGCUUUCGCUCAGUCGCUGACAGUAUAUCGCCAACAACGAGUGAUCAUCGUUUACAGCGUGGACUAC